UUUUCCAGGCAAAUCCGGAAAAUCAAGGCUGAGGCGUGAUGACGAGGCACUGCGGUGCUGAAGCAACAAAUGCCCUGCUUCCAGGAAAAGCCUCUAAGCAUCAGGUAACAUCAAAUCGUACCCCAAACCGACACAGGUGGUCAGGUAGAGAAUACCAAGGCGCUUGAGAGAACUCGGGUGAAGGAACUAGGCAAAAUGGUGCCGUAACUUCGGGAGAAGGCACGCUGAUAUGUAGGUGAAGUCCCUCGCGGAUGGAGCUGAAAUCAGUCGAAGAUACCAGCUGGCUGCAACUGUUUAUUAAAAACACAGCACUGUGCAAACACGAAAGUGGACGUAUACGGUGUGACGCCUGCCCGGUGCCGGAAGGUUAAUUGAUGGGGUCAGCGCAAGCGAAGCUCUUGAUCGAAGCCCCGGUAAACGGCGGCCGUAACUAUAACGGUCCUAAGGUAGCGAAAUUCCUUGUCGGGUAAGUUCCGACCUGCACGAAUGGCGUAAUGAUGGCCAGGCUGUCUCCACCCGAGACUCAGUGAAAUUGAACUCGCUGUGAAGAUGCAGUGUACCCGCGGCAAGACGGAAAGACCCCGUGAACCUUUACUAUAGCUUGACACUGAACAUUGAGCCUUGAUGUGUAGGAUAGGUGGGAGGCUUUGAAGUGUGGACGCCAGUCUGCAUGGAGCCGACCUUGAAAUACCACCCUUUAAUGUUUGAUGUUCUAACGUUGACCCGUAAUCCGGGUUGCGGACAGUGUCUGGUGGGUAGUUUGACUGGGGCGGUCUCCUCCUAAAGAGUAACGGAGGAGCACGAAGGUUGGCUAAUCCUGGUCGGACAUCAGGAGGUUAGUGCAAUGGCAUAAGCCAGCUUGACUGCGAGCGUGACGGCGCGAGCAGGUGCGAAAGCAGGUCAUAGUGAUCCGGUGGUUCUGAAUGGAAGGGCCAUCGCUCAACGGAUAAAAGGUACUCCGGGGAUAACAGGCUGAUACCGCCCAAGAGUUCAUAUCGACGGCGGUGUUUGGCACCUCGAUGUCGGCUCAUCACAUCCUGGGGCUGAAGUAGGUCCCAAGGGUAUGGCUGUUCGCCAUUUAAAGUGGUACGCGAGCUGGGUUUAGAACGUCGUGAGACAGUUCGGUCCCUAUCUGCCGUGGGCGCUGGAGAACUGAGGGGGGCUGCUCCUAGUACGAGAGGACCGGAGUGGACGCAUCACUGGUGUUCGGGUUGUCAUGCCAAUGGCACUGCCCGGUAGCUAAAUGCGGAAGAGAUAAGUGCUGAAAGCAUCUAAGCACGAAACUUGCC
Molecule: ribosomal RNA, 1289 nt
Filed under: Escherichia coli
Lineage: Bacteria; Pseudomonadati; Pseudomonadota; Gammaproteobacteria; Enterobacterales; Enterobacteriaceae
Description: partial 23S ribosomal RNA
Rfam family: Bacterial large subunit ribosomal RNA
Source: RNAcentral